GACGAACGCUGGCGGCGUGCUUAACACAUGCAAGUCGAACGGAAAGGCCCUGCUUUUGUGGGGUGCUCGAGUGGCGAACGGGUGAGUAACACGUGAGUAACCUGCCCUUGACUUUGGGAUAACUUCAGGAAACUGGGGCUAAUACCGGAUAGGAGCUCCUGCUGCAUGGUGGGGGUUGGAAAGUUUCGGCGGUUGGGGAUGGACUCGCGGCUUAUCAGCUUGUUGGUGGGGUAGUGGCUUACCAAGGCUUUGACGGGUAGCCGGCCUGGGAGGGUGACCGGCCACAUUGGGACGGAGAUACGGCCCAGACUCCUACGGGAGGCAGCAGGGGGGAAUAUUGCACAAGGGGCGGAGGCCUGAUGCAGCAACGCCGCGUGCGGGAUGGUGGCCUUCGGGUUGUAAACCGCUUUCGCUUGGGACGAAGCGUGAGGGACGUUAAUGGGGAAGAAAGCACCGGCUAACUACGU
RNAcentral lists this ribosomal RNA (467 nucleotides) under uncultured bacterium. RNAcentral describes it as "partial 16S ribosomal RNA". It matches the Rfam family "Bacterial small subunit ribosomal RNA", at positions 28 to 506 of the family's 1533-position model. The record is from RNAcentral.